UUGGAUCAAGGACAUCUAAAACCUGCAGAACACCGGCCCUUGAGGCCGGGAGUUCAACACCUCUUCUUUAUUGUGUUGAAUCUGAUCAUUUCCUAUAUAAGUGUGAGUAGGCCGCUGGUCAAAGUUGGAAUGCUGGCAGAUCUCAUUGACUCUGGGGAAUUGCAGAAUUUCAUGGAUUCAAACCUUGUUAAACAACUAGGUACUGCUCUGGUCCCACUUCGUGAAUCUCUUCGCAUGUCAGCUGUCAAUGUUAACCUCCUUGCCAGCAUCACCCACCAGCCUCAACCCUUCUCAAUCCUGCUUUCCCGAAAUCACCAUGAGUACAUUACUCUAUUCAUCUUCGACUCACCUAAUUCACCUCUUGUUCUCAGUUUUCCCUAGCAACAAACACACAACCCAACAACAUAGAUUGGAUAAACAGUAAUAGCUCUUUUCCACUAGCACCUGAUGUGCAUGAGGUUGUUCUAGCAACACGGCCUAAAAUCCUGUGACGUCAUUUGUAUGCAACACAAACACCACAACCAUGGAGGACGCCAAUGCGAUGAUAUACCUGCUGCUUGGAGUAUGGCUUUUUGUCAGACUCAGCUCUUAUCUCUUCCUCCUGUUCUCUAUUAGCAGCAGGAUU
Oreochromis niloticus (Nile tilapia) is the source of this 625-nucleotide long non-coding RNA. RefSeq lists it as uncharacterized. The transcript is spliced from 2 exons. The record is from RefSeq and is a predicted model, not a curated record. Lineage: Eukaryota; Metazoa; Chordata; Actinopteri; Cichliformes; Cichlidae.